This 375-nucleotide ribosomal RNA is filed under the name uncultured bacterium. Its description in RNAcentral is "bacterial SSU rRNA". It matches the Rfam family "Bacterial small subunit ribosomal RNA", at positions 28 to 404 of the family's 1533-position model. The record is from RNAcentral.
GACGAACGCUGGCGGCGUGCUUAACACAUGCAAGUCGAGCGGUAAGGCCCUUUCGGGGGUACACGAGCGGCGAACGGGUGAGUAACACGUGGGUGACCUGCCCUCAGCUCUGGGAUAAGCCUGGGAAACCGGGUCUAAUACUGGAUAUGACUCCAUGACGCAUGUUGUGGGGUGGAAAGCCUUGUGCGGCUGAGGAUGGGCCCGCGGCCUAUCAGCUUGUUGGUGGGGUGANGGCCUACCAAGGCGACGACGGGUAGCCGGCCUGAGAGGGCGACCGGCCACACUGGGACUGAGACACGGCCCAGACUCCUACGGGAGGCAGCAGUGGGGAACCUUGCGCAAUGGGCGAAAGCCUGACGCAGCGACGCCGCGUGA